UUCUUAUCCAGAGAGGCGGAGGGACUGGCCCGAUGAUGCCCGGCAACCAAUCACCUGUGUAGCGAUAUACAGGGAGAUACUGGUGCUAAUUCCUGCAGAGUGUUGAACUCUGACAGAUAAGAA
RNAcentral lists this non-coding RNA (123 nucleotides) under Brevibacillus panacihumi. RNAcentral describes it as "SAM-I sequence". It matches the Rfam family "SAM riboswitch aptamer (S box leader)". From Rfam's summary of the family: The SAM riboswitch is found upstream of a number of genes which code for proteins involved in methionine or cysteine biosynthesis in Gram-positive bacteria. The SAM riboswitch acts at the level of transcription termination control. The predicted structure consists of a complex stem-loop region followed by a single stem loop terminator region. Lineage: Bacteria; Bacillati; Bacillota; Bacilli; Caryophanales; Paenibacillaceae. The record is from RNAcentral. RNAcentral also lists the same sequence under 1 other name.